AUCCAUCCAACCGUUGUUGGCAGGAUUUGAACCUGCGCGGGGAAACCCCAACCCCAAUAGAUUUUUGGAACAGGGAGAUGGAAUAGGGGCUUGCUCCGUCCACUCCACGCAUCGACCUGGUAUUGCAGUAUCUCCAGGAACGGUGCACUCCCU
Molecule: small nuclear RNA, 153 nt
Filed under: Echeneis naucrates (live sharksucker)
Lineage: Eukaryota; Metazoa; Chordata; Actinopteri; Carangiformes; Echeneidae
Description: U2 spliceosomal RNA (ENSENLG00000000649.1)
Rfam family: U2 spliceosomal RNA
About the family: U2 is a small nuclear RNA (snRNA) component of the spliceosome (involved in pre-mRNA splicing). Complementary binding between U2 snRNA (in an area lying towards the 5' end but 3' to hairpin I) and the branchpoint sequence (BPS) of the intron results the bulging out of an unpaired adenosine, on the BPS, which initiates a nucleophilic attack at the intronic 5' splice site, thus starting the first of two transesterification reactions that mediate splicing.
Source: Rfam by way of RNAcentral